GACGAACGCUGGCGGCGUGCUUAACACAUGCAAGUCGAACGGAACGGCCCUGCUUUUGUGGGGUGCUCGAGUGGCGAACGGGUGAGUAACACGUGAGUAACCUGCCCUUGACUUUGGGAUAACUUCAGGAAACUGGGGCUAAUACCGGAUAGGAGCUCCUGCUGCAUGGUGGGGUUGGAAAGUUUCGGCGGUUGGGGAUGGACUCGCGGCUUAUCAGCUUGUUGGUGGGGUAGUGGCUUACCAAGGCUUUGACGGGUAGCCGGCCUGAGAGGGUGACCGGCCACAUUGGGACUGAGAUACGGCCCAGACUCCUACGGGAGGCAGAAGUGGGGAAUAUUGCACAAUGGGCGGAAGCCUGAUGCAGCAACGCCGCGUGCGGGAUGACGGCCUUCGGGUUGUAAACCGCUUUCGCCUGUGACGAAGCGUGAGUGACGGUAAUGGGUAAAGAAGCACCGGCUAACUACGUG
This 467-nucleotide ribosomal RNA is filed under the name uncultured bacterium. RNAcentral's name for it is "partial 16S ribosomal RNA". It matches the Rfam family "Bacterial small subunit ribosomal RNA", at positions 28 to 507 of the family's 1533-position model. The record is from RNAcentral.